AUGAUACGCGAGGAACCGUUACCUGGGCGUCAAAUAGUAUGUUGACGUAUUCUGAAAGGGAUACUUCUUCGGACAAUAUACAAGGUGCUGCAUGGUUGUCGUCAGCUCGUGCCGUGAGGUGUCGGGUUAAGUCCCAUAACGAGCGCAACCCUAUCAUUAGUUGCCAUCAGGUCAAGCUGGGGACUCUAAUGAAACUGCCUACGCAAGUAGUGAGGAGGGUGGGGAUGACGUCAAGUCAUCAUGGCCCUUAUGUCCAGGGCGACACACGUGCUACAAUGGGCGGCACAACGGGAAGCGAAGGGGUGACCUGGAGCGGAUCCUAAUAAAGCCGUUCCCAGUUCGGAUUGGAGUCUGCAACCCGACUCCAUGAAGCUGGAAUCGCUAGUAAUCGUGAAUCAGAAUGUCACGGUGAAUACGUUCCCGGGCCUU
RNAcentral lists this ribosomal RNA (429 nucleotides) under uncultured Sphingobacteriales bacterium. Its description in RNAcentral is "bacterial SSU rRNA". It matches the Rfam family "Bacterial small subunit ribosomal RNA", at positions 954 to 1382 of the family's 1533-position model. Lineage: Bacteria; Pseudomonadati; Bacteroidota; Sphingobacteriia; Sphingobacteriales. The record is from RNAcentral.